Long non-coding RNA from Centrocercus urophasianus (Greater sage-grouse), 8235 nucleotides. RefSeq lists it as uncharacterized. The transcript is spliced from 5 exons. The record is from RefSeq and is a predicted model, not a curated record. Lineage: Eukaryota; Metazoa; Chordata; Aves; Galliformes; Phasianidae.
UAGAUGCAAGGGGGGAAAAAGACGAAGAGAGAGAGGGAGAGAAAGAGAGAUUAAGAGAGAGAAGCUUCAAAGUGACUGGAGCGGAUUUGAAGUCCUGAGCGUUCCUGUGCUGGGCAGGCCAGCAAUUCACCAGAGAGACCCCGUCAAGCUCCCCCCAUCCUUCGCCCUGGCCUCAUCCCUGCUGCCUCCUCCUCCUCCUCCUCACCGCCAACGCAGCCUCCCAGUCGCAGGUUCAAAGUUCAGCAGCAUCUAAUGAUGGGAAGGCCUCCCAAACCCUCUAAAGAACUUGGCAUUUCAGAACUUGGUUCUGCUGUGACCAGAAUUAAGGAGUAUCCUCUUCCAGAUAAAAACACUGAAAUUUGCCUGGGAUUUGCACUUGCUCUAGCUGGAAGAGGAAUGGCCAAGCCUGAGUGUCUUACUCCAACCUUGCUGCUCUCUCUCUGCACAGACGCCAUCAUCAGUGGGCUGUGGAUGGACCAGGGCUGGGCAAGUGCUCACCACUGGGGUUAAAGAAUGCAGGGUUAGAGGAUGGGCACCAUGGCCAUACCGGCACUGGCAAAGCAUCUCCGUCAUCUGCAAGGAAGCUCUCAAAUGUCACCUUUUGGCCUUCUGAAAUCAGAUCAGCUGGCUCCCACUCUGUCUGAAAUGAAAUCUCCACCAUGGGAUGGCUGGUAUGUCCCUCUUUUCAGCUGGAACAAGGUAAGAGACGGAGCCUCCCUGUGUAAAGAAGUGCUGGUCAGAGAAAUGAGCAUAUACCCUGAAUUGAAGGCUAGCCCCAGCAAUACCCACCUCGUAAGCACACUUUGGGUGUGGAGAAUUUGCAUCGUUGCAGGCAUUUCUGCAAUAAGCCUGCUAGUUUAUCCUAGUUUUGUGAACAACUGUUGCCUGCAUCGUAGUGCCUUCUCUGUGUGCAUGCACAUCUCCCUGCUCCACCACAGUAACAGCUAAUCCCACAGGCCAAUGUAACAAAUUUGGCAGGAAUAUACAGACCUCAGUGACGUGGUGAUCCUGAACAUUUCAUGGAAAAUAAAGAAACUGAUCCCAUGAGCUUAUUGAACGAGGGUCUGUUGUCUCAGGCCAGCACUCAUCAGGCACCUGAAAAUCUGCCCGGCUGAGGUCCUGAAUGCCCCAAAUGCCUGCCCCUUAAUUAUAUAUAAGAGACUCCUGCCACACAAUGCAAACUCAUUGUGGAGCAAUGUUCAUUUAGCUGGUGGCCCACCAAGCGUUUGGUGAUCCUCCAGGAUGAAGCACUUGUCCUGUGUGCAGCUUCAGUACAAAAUCAAGUCUUUUCCUCUACUUGCUAAGAAGAAGAUGCAUGAGUGGAGGAAAAUAUUGUGAUGCUGAACAGAAGAGCAACUAUUUUCUGUCCUGUCCUGAGUUUUAGUGCUUAGAGUGAAAUUUACUACCAUAAAACGCAGUGAAGAGCUUCUGUAGUACUAUGACACAGCUUCAGGCUUGACCAAAAGAGUUCCUUAGACUACUGACUGAUUUCACUUAUUUAUUUAUUAGCCAAGGGCUCCUUUGAGGUCCUAUCAUCUCAUUCUCAACUGAAUUUCAGAUAACCUUUCUUCGAGCUUAGACUCUUUGUAGCUGGCCAGUUUUAAAGAUCGGUUUGAGCUGCAGACUUCAGAUUUGAAGCUGGAUCUGGAUUUGGGAUUUUGGUUCUGACCUAUUUCAUUCUGUGAUACAGCUGCUCUCAGAAGACUUGGGAUGUUCUUGGGAAAGUUAGUUUCAAAAUUAUAGGAAUAAAUGAUGUCAGAUGGCUUUACUCACUUGCUUUGGAUCUCCACAAAUACUAGAUCUCUGGACUGUUGAGUGUGGGUUGAAGAAAAUAAAAUUCUGCCCAGCAGUUUCAUCUUUGAUGGUUAUGAUAGAAAUGCAGCCCCAGAGGGGCUUGAUCUUUGCCCUGAUAUCAAGAUUUUUUCACGGUGCAUUGGAAAAGGCUUCUUGGAGGUCUUGAUAGAAACUGUGGAGAAAAGCUAUCAAGAAUUGCCAUACUAACACCCCCGGCCUCGGCAAAGGUGCUGCAGGGUGAACUGUUUGGAAACAAUUAACGUGCUCUUAUACCAACAUGACCUUUGAGAGUGCCAAGCAUCUUCUAUGGGGCCUGUAACUCAAGCAUUAAUAAUGGAUUACCAAAAGCAACCAGCUGCAAGGGAACCACUUCUCCCUGCUUAGAUAAUUCUCCUCCCAGAGAAGAGCUAUUGAUUUUGAUACUGAUUCCUUCCUCCCUCGUGAAAGGGCUACACCCCACCAUUGCUAUCUGUGACAGUGAGCUCUCUCCUGAUCUACACAAACCAUACACAUCAGCCACGUUCCUCUGCACCAGCAGUAGAGACACCCCUCCAACACGACUGAGACUGCUGCUAAAAGCAAUGUGCACUUCUAUUUUCUCACCAGAUGAUUCAGUCAGCUUUGCACUUCAGCAGCUGUUUCCCACUAGUCUGCAACAAGUAACAUCUCUGAGCACUGUGGAACUGGUUAGACCCACAUCAACUUUGCAGCAUCCGUAGCACAAAGAGAAUGGAUGAAAAUCAGCUUGGAUGAUGCAAGCUGGAUUGUGCAAGCACCCUCAUCUGCUUGUUCUCUUGUAUCGCUUCCUUCAUCCUUUCUGCUCUAAGUCCAUGUUUGUGUUUUACUAUUUGUGUUGGAAGUGGUCCUGGGAAACUGAUCUAACUGGCUGUGUUUGAGCAGAAGGAUUGGACCAGAUGACACAGAGGACCCUUCCCAUCUCAGCCAUACUGUUCCAGUUGCUGGAUUUGAGAUGGAGUUCUGAGUACCUUUAUGACUUGCUAAAGCUACAGUCUCUGCAGGGGAUGGAAGGAAAAAGAGGACCUUGAGCUUGUUUACAUCUUAGUUUUAUGGACAGAACUGAAAACUUGUUUCUGUUUGGUCUUAGGCCAGUCAGAAACAGGAAUCACUUGUAAGUUUCUGUAAACAGAAAUCUUAUUUUUGUCUGCUUUACAUAGGAAAGCAGGGCAGGGAGGAGGAGAAUGGAAGGUAUGCCAUCACAGUGUGUGUGUUUGUCACUUACCUUUACACCCAGUGAUACACAAACUUGUUGGCCACCUUCAACUAUGUUUUAACUGUGGUUGGUAGAAGUGGUCUGAAAGAUAUAAUGAAAUAAAGCAAUUGGAUGCAGCACCACAAACCCACCAACAGACUGAGAUAAGGCAAGCCUGCAGCAUGUGUUCAACCUUAAUGAGACACUGGAGAAUCCAGUUGCUGGGUGUGGGGCAGCUUCAAGUCUGAGUUCACACUGCACCAGACAUCAGAGAAGCCAACUACAAGAGGCAAAUCUCUGGGGAAUUGGGGUUCAUUAGUAUCUCUGCUUGUGGAGUAACUUGUUUUCUUGGAGCAUCUUUCAUCUCUUUUCGGACACAAGAUGUGGAAACAAAGGGCUGGAUUCAUGGCAGGGCUUAGAGUGCUACUACAGUAUGGUGGGAGCAAGGAUCCUCUUCCAGAUAGCGUGCUGGAAUCCAGCAGGGACGAUAUCUGAGCUGUGGCUGUGUAGAUGGGUGCUGAGCCCUCAAGCUGGGUGAGGGAGGUGGUACUCAGACUGGAUAGGAAGAGAGGGCUUGUGAAUCAGUCCUGAGAAAUACCUGUAAACCCUCUUUUAUACCAGAAACCUCAAAAUGAGAUGCUGAGAGCAUGAACCUUCUUUCUGAGAAGAAUGGACCAAAACGAACAGCUGAAAUGAGUCCAUGUUGCAGGUAGAAAGGAAGCCCUGGAAUUUGCUGUUCUGAGGUAUAAAAACUAUUUUGACAAAAUAAACAUCCCCCUCCCCUCUGCAAUCUUAUCUGCUGCGAUCAUUCUGCCUCCCGGUGGACCCAUCCUCCACAGACAUGUCUUCAAAAAUGAAUUGUAUUCAAGUCCACUGUGAAGUUUCUUUAUGAUGGUACUGUAAAUGGACCAUAAAGCAACAAAUCUAUGACCCUAAAUUCCAGAAUCUGCAAAAACUGCUCUUACUUGGCUCCUGCCCAUCUACUGAAGUGCCCAGCCACGGGAUACUUGUAGCCAUGAGCUACCCGCUCUCCGCAAGCCUGCCCGCUCACCAUGUAGCAGCAGGAUGCAGAGAGCCAGCUCAUGUCUGAAAUCCUUGCCUAGAGUCAGAUGGUAAGAUGGGAAAUCCAAUCAUUUUAUACCGGUCAGUGAGUGAACAUUGCUGAGCAUAUGGGUAAGUCAAUAAUUGGCUUUAAUUAAGUAAAAGUUCUUUCAUUAAUAUCUUUUUAAAUGGAUACUCUACAAAAUCUGCCUGGGGGAAAUCUCAGGGUUAGAAAAGCCUUAUGGUAUAUAUUGCUGCAAUGUAACUGAGUUAGGUUGAGAUAUCAGCAGGGUGAGCAUAGGAGGGAAUGGGGGGAAUGUUUGGAAAGGCAGCAUGGAGUGAGACUCAUUAUCUGCUCUGGACUGAAAGGAACAAGAAUAUUAGCUUAACCUAAACCUGAGCAAGUCAAAUAGAUAUUUUUGAAGGUAAAAGUAUGGUCUGUGGAAGUCUUAUGGCUAAACCAGAUACUGAUUACUUAAACUAUCCAUCUUACAUCACUCAUUGUGUCCUGCAGAUGGUGGAAGCACAGCUGAACCACAAAAUUCCCAUCAAGUUCAAUUCAAAGCAUCCCACCCACGAGUUUCACCAUGGACUGACCACUGACAUCUAUCAUUUGAAGCUACAAAACUUCACCCCCAGGCCCAGCUAACAUGCUUUGGAGGGUGUUGAGAUGGUAAACGCCUUUUCAUCUGAGCCAAGGCAAGAUUUCGGUUCAAUAUCAGCAAGUUGACAUGUGCUCCUGAGUGCCAAUGUCAAACCAAACAGCAAGUACCAUCCAAUCACGCAUCUUAAGCAUGCAUCAGUGGCAUUUUCAGUCCAGUUCCACAUGAAGCAUAGACACAAGAAGAACAGACAUGUUGGUUUCUUCAGGUGAAAAGACAAGCACUGGAAGGAAGGACCCUAUCCCCAAAGUGAGCUCAUACUCAGAAAGGUGCCAAGGGUUUGUGUAUUUCUAUGAGCAAUGUCUUCUGUUUUCAGGCUCCAUUUCCCUUCAGAUCCAAGUGGAAAAGGCUGCGUAAUCUUCAGACUGAAGCUUUUUAUGUUUUAAAGAGAAUGGUGUUAUAAAGUGUUGGCGGUCUCUUCCUCAGUAUUGGCUGUGACAGUCCAGGAGUGGAAGGCUUCUGAUUAACACAUUGUGCACGUAACCUGACAUGUUGCCCAGUUUUAAUAUGCUCUUUUAUCAGGUCAUGCUGUCCCUUUGAAGGUUCUUUGCAUAUUGCCAGAGCACAAUAUCUACAAACAACUCCUGCUUCUUCCCUUCUCAGUUACUUACACCCAUGUUGACAAUUUAAACACUGCAUUGCGUGAUCACCCAUGAGUUUCUCUUUUGACUUGUCUUCUCAAAUUAAAAGCAAAACAAAGCUAAACAGGAGGCUUCUUCAAUGAGACUUACAACUACGGAAACAGUGACCAGCCAAAAUGAUAAAUCUGGCAUCUCCUCAUUCUUUAGCUGACUUUUACUUGCCUGAAUGCUAGGCUGGUGCUCACUGCAAUUUGCAUUACUGUAAGUAAGCAAAAUUCUUGCUUCAACUCAUUUGUUUAGUUCAAUUUCAAAAAUAUGAAUUUAAACAAACCAGGAAUGUUUAUUCCCAAAUGAGAGUUUGCAUAGAGCAAAAUAAUAGUGAGUAACAGUUUGAGCAGCAACUUGGGCAAUUGUAUGCACCAUCAGAGCAUCUUUGUGGCCAUAGAUCUUCCCUGCAUUUGAGGGGUGACCAUACAGAGAUUUCUGCAUUUUUAUCUCUAUGCAACGGUGUGGACUUGUCUUUUCUUGAUAAAACCCUAAAGACUAAUUUUCACUGAAUGUUAUGGAUCAAGCAAUAUUCUAUUUAUGAACGCUUUGCUUCAGCCAAAUACAAACUGUUGGACUCAGUGAGCUUCAUGGUCUGCAGUGUAGAAAAUAUUAACCUAGCUUCCAAUUUUAUCCUUGUGGAGGUGAGAAGCCUGGGUUUUCACUGCAACUGAUGAAAAAGAACAGUCCCUUAGGCAGGCAGUUGUUUUCAUCCAUCCCGUGCAUCUGAUUCAGGAUGGGUGAAGCAGCUUUGGGCAGCACUCCCUACUGAUCCAGGAGGAUGCUGGAGUUAUUUUCCUGAGUCACACCCAGCGCUCCUCCUUCAGUUAUCUGCAAAAUUAGUUUUUCUCAUGCCAGCUCCUUUAAAAUGCAGCUGUCCCUCACAAUACUGUUUUUCUUCUGUCAUUUUUUUCACACUAUUUUCUGUCACAUUUGGCAGCUCCUCGUGCCAGGACUGGCACUUCUUAUCCUGGUCAGCUCAUGCAACGAAAGGCUGAGAUCUAAUCAGUGGCCAAGUCACCUGCCUACGAUCCCAAUGCAAAUGCUCUGGAAAACACAGCUGGAGGGUUAAUGAAUUGGCCAAGCCCCAUGUCAGAGCAUGCAAGGCUAGAUGUAACUUGUGCUGGUUUUCAUUUCUCUUUUUCCUGGUGCUGCAAGAGAAGGCAAGGCAGAUCCUUUGCAUGCUCCACAAGAUCUUUGCCUCUCCAAGGAUCCCCCAACAAAUCUCAAUAGGCCCUGCAUGCUUCCCCCUUGGGCAGAGGUGGAAGCCAACGUCCUGGCUCAACGCAUCCAAAAAGGAGCAAUCCUACAGCCAACAACUUCUCCUUCCACCCCUGCCUAGGGCUGACCCGGUGGCAUUGACUACCUCUUCUGUUGCAAGCAGCUAGAUUUUGGCAUGCUCCUGUAAGGAAACCCUUUUUUCUUUUCCUCUUCUUCUUCUCCUGCAUUUUGAUGGGGCUGGAGAUCUCUCGGAGGAAGACGCUCUUCCCUUUUUAUCAAUUAGGAGCACACACGCGCUCUCUCGCUCCCUCUCCCACCCCUACUCUGCUUUCCUCCCAGCUCCCCUUGGCUGCCGAUUUCAGACAAAGAUGUGUGAGUUCUUUGAUCUGCCUGGCAGCCACCGCUGGGGGAUUGGCUUGGAGGUUAAUUACACACAGGCCGUCUCCAGCUGUGGCAGGAGCCAUUCGGCUGGAGAGGGAGCUGUCCCUUCUCCCCCCUCCAGCUACAAACUUCAAGGGGACAGGAGGGCAAGGAAGGUACCACUGAAACCCCUUUUGAUAUGACAAACGGGCUCCUUGCUUGCCUCUCUGGUUCUUGUUUUGUUUGUCUAACUGGUACUUGAAAUAUGGAUGAGCUCUCAGUCCUGAGGGCCCAGCCACUGUCUUGAAACCAACUGGAGUUUUGCUCUCCUGUCUGUCUUUCUCUGCCUGUCCACGUGUCCUUGUCCAGCAGCCCUCUGCCCACAUACCCAUGACUAAUCCCAGCUCUCAAGGAGAAGCAAAACCUGGACCCUGUGUUUGAGCAGCUGUGCAGAGAUGAGGAGCCUCAUCUGCUGGAGGAGAGAUGAGUUGGUGGCUGCUGCCCGGGAGGUUUGCAUUCUGUCAGUCCCUCUCUCUGUGCCUGAAAUACUCAGAGAUUUUCUUCUGUUUAUUCUUCUCUUAAAGCCACUUAAAUCCCUCUGUGCCUCGGUUUUCCAAUCUUCAUAAUAAAAGCAAAAUACGUUUAUCUGCUCCUCAGGGUUGGAUUGAGGCUGAUUGAUUUGCUUGUCAAACAUCCCAAACUAAAUAGUGUGGCACAAGAGAGCUGUUGGUAUAAUCCCUCUGUAUUAGCAAAAUCCCUCUCAAAAGGAGCUUACACAGAUGCUUCAAGGCAGGUAGAGAUGGAUUUCAGAUGCUUUUCAGUGGCUCCUAGGCAUCUCUCUUGGCCUCUGAACUCUCACAUGAUAUUCAAGUGUGGGCUGGGGUCCCCAUGCAGUGAGAUCUGCAGCUGACAACAGCCUGCAUCCUAAGGACAUUACACAACCUAAACUAGAUCUAUCCGGGAGUGCAAACUCAUAUUUAGAUUUGCACUCCCUUCUGUGCAGACUAAGGGAAAAAUUCAAAUGUUUCUCGUUCAAACAGUGUAUCUGUAGUAGUCAAGAACGACAGCCAGUCUGAUUGCAUGUCAGUGGAAGCCAUCAACUAUUUGCAGCAAAACAUGCCUGUCUUGAGACCUUGCCUGAAGCCAACAUGCUGUUGUACUCAUCUGGAUUGUGAGCAGAUCUGGGAGCUAAAAGGCAGAAAGCUCACUUGUGCACAACCAUUUUGCUGACUAGUAGAAGUUUGAGUGCAAGGACCUGUGGGUCUGUAGCAGAAAUGCUAAGUGAUGGCCUGAACCAGUGAUUGAGCACCUGGUGGGAAGG